RNAcentral lists this long non-coding RNA (1030 nucleotides) under Varanus komodoensis (Komodo dragon). RNAcentral describes it as "lncRNA (ENSVKKG00000007172.1)". Lineage: Eukaryota; Metazoa; Chordata; Lepidosauria; Squamata; Varanidae. The record is from RNAcentral.
GGUAGGGUUAGGGUUAGGAAAACGAGGUGUCCUGGCACGAUUCUGAUGGGUGGGAUGUGUUUAGAAUGGGCCGAAAGGAUGACCUGGGCAGAAAAAGCUACUCAAGGAAGGCUUUUUCAAAAUCACCCUCUUUUCAGUGGAGCUUUACCCCUAUAUUAGGGUUAGGGAUGUGCACCAGGGUAGGAUUAGGGUUAGGAAAACGAGGUGUCCUGGCACGAUUCUUAUGCCUGGAAUGUGUUUAGAAUGGGCAGAAAGGAUGAGCUGGGCAGAAAGAGCUACUCAAGGAAGGCUUUUUCAAAAUCACCCUCUUUUCAUGGAGCUUUACCCCUAUAUUAGGGUUAGGGGAGUGCACCAGGGUAGGGUUGGGUUAGGAAAACGAGGUGUCCUGGCAUGAUUCUGAUGGCUGGAAUGUGUUUAGAGCGGGCAAAAAGGAUGAGCUGGGCAGAAAAUCUACUCAAGGAAGGCUUUUUCAAAAUCACCCUCUUUUCAGUGGAACUUUACCCCUAUAUUAGGGUUAGGGAUGUGCACCAGGGUAGGGUUAGGGUUAGGAAAACGAGGUGUCCUGGCAUGAUUCUGAUGGCUGGAAUGUGUUUAGAGUGGGCAGAAAGGAUGAGCUGGGCAGAAAAAGCUACUCAAGGAAGGCUUUUUCAAAAUCACCCUCUUUUCAUGGAGCUUUACCCCUAUAUUAGGGUUAGGGGGGUGCACCAGGGUAGGGUUAGGGUUAGGAAAACGAGGUGUCCGGGCACGAUUCUUAUGGCUGGAAUGUGUUUAGAAUGGGCAGAAAGGAUGAGCUGGGCAGAAAAAGCUACUCAAGGAAGGCUUUUUCAAAAUCACCCUCUUUUCAAUGGGGCUUUACCCUAAAUCAGGGUUGGGGGUGUGCCCCAGGGUAGGGUUAGGGUUAGGAAAACGAGGUGUCCUGGCAUGGUUCUGAUGGCUGGAAUGUGUUUAGAGUGGGCAGAAAGGAUGAGCUGUGCAGAAAAAGCUACUCAAGGAAGGCUUUUUCAAAAUCGCACUCUUUGCAGUGGAACUU